Molecule: ribosomal RNA, 1071 nt
Filed under: Klebsiella pneumoniae
Lineage: Bacteria; Pseudomonadati; Pseudomonadota; Gammaproteobacteria; Enterobacterales; Enterobacteriaceae
Also listed under: 5 other names
Description: bacterial LSU rRNA
Rfam family: Bacterial large subunit ribosomal RNA
Source: RNAcentral
CACUAUCGUUAACUGAAUACAUAGGUUAACGAGGCGAACCGGGGGAACUGAAACAUCUAAGUACCCCGAGGAAAAGAAAUCAACCGAGAUUCCCCCAGUAGCGGCGAGCGAACGGGGAGCAGCCCAGAGUCUGAAUCAGCUUGUGUGUUAGUGGAACGGUCUGGAAAGUCCGACGGUACAGGGUGAUAGUCCCGUACACCAAAAUGCACAGGCUGUGAACUCGAAGAGUAGGGCGGGACACGUGGUAUCCUGUCUGAAUAUGGGGGGACCAUCCUCCAAGGCUAAAUACUCCUGACUGACCGAUAGUGAACCAGUACCGUGAGGGAAAGGCGAAAAGAACCCCGGCGAGGGGAGUGAAAAAGAACCUGAAACCGUGUACGUACAAGCAGUGGGAGCACCUUCGGGUGUGACUGCGUACCUUUUGUAUAAUGGGUCAGCGACUUAUAUUCUGUAGCAAGGUUAACCGUAUAGGGGAGCCGCAGGGAAACCGAGUCUUAACUGGGCGUUAAGUUGCAGGGUAUAGACCCGAAACCCGGUGAUCUAGCCAUGGGCAGGUUGAAGGUUGGGUAACACUAACUGGAGGACCGAACCGACUAAUGUUGAAAAAUUAGCGGAUGACUUGUGGCUGGGGGUGAAAGGCCAAUCAAACCGGGAGAUAGCUGGUUCUCCCCGAAAGCUAUUUAGGUAGCGCCUCGUGAAUUCAUCUUCGGGGGUAGAGCACUGUUUCGGCUAGGGGGUCAUCCCGACUUACCAACCCGAUGCAAACUACGAAUACCGAAGAAUGUUAUCACGGGAGACACACGGCGGGUGCUAACGUCCGUCGUGAAGAGGGAAACAACCCAGACCGCCAGCUAAGGUCCCAAAGUCAUGGUUAAGUGGGAAACGAUGUGGGAAGGCACAGACAGCCAGGAUGUUGGCUUAGAAGCAGCCAUCAUUUAAAGAAAGCGUAAUAGCUCACUGGUCGAGUCGGCCUGCGCGGAAGAUGUAACGGGGCUAAACCAUGCACCGAAGCUGCGGCAGCGACACUAUGUGUUGUUGGGUAGGGGAGCGUUCUGUAAGCCUGCGAAGGUG